GCGCCCGUAGCUCAGUUGGACAGAGCAACGGAUUUCUAAUCCGUCGGUCAGGGGUUCGAAUCCCUUCGGGCGCG
Molecule: transfer RNA, 74 nt
Filed under: Phycisphaerae bacterium
Lineage: Bacteria; Pseudomonadati; Planctomycetota; Phycisphaerae
Also listed under: 1 other name
Description: tRNA-Arg
Rfam family: tRNA
About the family: Transfer RNA (tRNA) molecules are approximately 80 nucleotides in length. Their secondary structure includes four short double-helical elements and three loops (D, anti-codon, and T loops).
Source: RNAcentral